CGGUUUAAUAAGUCUCUGGUGAAAUCCUGCAGCUUAACUGUGGGAAUUGCUGGAGAUACUAUUAGACUUGAGACCGGGAGAGGUUGGAGGUACUCCCAGGGUAGAGGUGAAAUUCUGUAAUCCUGGGAGGACCGCCUGUUGCGAAGGCGUCUAACUGGAACGGUUCUGACGGUGAGGGACGAAAGUUAGGGGCGCGAACCGGAUUAGAUACCCGGGUAGUCCUAACUGUAAACGAUGCGGACUUGGUGUUGGGGUGGCUUUGAGCUGUCCCAGUGCCGAAGGGAAGCUGUUAAGUCCGCCGCCUGGGAAGUACGGUCGCAAGACUGAAGCUUAAAGGAAUUGGCGGGGGAGCACCACAACGCGUGGAGCCUGCGGUUUAAUUGGAUUCAACGCCGGACAUCUCACCAGAGGCGACAGCUGUAUGAUAGCCAGGUUGAUGACUUUGCUUGACUAGCUGAAAGGAGGUGCAUGGCCGCCGUCUGCUCGUACCGUGAGGCGUCCUGUUAAGUCAGGCAACGAGCUGAGACCCACGCCCUUAGUUACCAGCUUAUCCUUUUUUGGAUGAUGGGCACACUAAGGAGACCGCCCGUGAUAAACUGGAGGAAGGAGUGUACGACGGU
Molecule: ribosomal RNA, 620 nt
Filed under: uncultured rumen archaeon
Lineage: Archaea
Description: SSU rRNA
Rfam family: Archaeal small subunit ribosomal RNA
Source: RNAcentral